AUCCACUGACUGUCUCGUUAGAUUAACCCUAUAAAUUUCAUUCACUCCGCAUACUCAAUCCUAUAGACACCCUUUUAAUUCUUCAUCACAGACGUAACUCGAUUUCACAAAACAGUCAAGAGUAUUCAAAUCCACUUCAUUAAAAAUCCCGAUUCACCAUUACAACACUGACUUCAGCAACGAUUGCCUCAGUCUUCUCAAAACCCUAUGAAGAAAAAAAAAUCCAAUUCUCUGUCUUUUUUU
RNAcentral lists this long non-coding RNA (243 nucleotides) under Physcomitrium patens. RNAcentral describes it as "long non-coding RNA (PPAT_LNC007793)". Lineage: Eukaryota; Viridiplantae; Streptophyta; Bryopsida; Funariales; Funariaceae. The record is from RNAcentral.